Molecule: long non-coding RNA, 1280 nt
Filed under: Cricetulus griseus (Chinese hamster)
Lineage: Eukaryota; Metazoa; Chordata; Mammalia; Rodentia; Cricetidae
Description: lncRNA (ENSCGRG00015036996.1)
Source: RNAcentral
AAAGCACCCUGAGAGGCUGGGAAAAGAAGACCACACCCUGAAUCCUAAGAGCCUGGGUAAAGAAGCUGAAGCAAGUCCUCUAGGUGUGGGGCUCCACCCUACACACCCCACAAAGGGGAAGACAUGCCUAAUCCUAGUCUUUAAAGCCAUGCCCACUUCUCACCAAGUUUAUAAAGGGAGACUGGAGAGCUCAGGAAUUGAGUUUGUUUCUCGAGUUCUGCAAUCAUCAGCCCUUGAAGUUCCGAAGCCCUACCCUCCACCUGACAUUUUCAGUCUGGUUUGGACAACUAUCAAGCAAAAGACCAGCUCCUAUAUUUGAGUACCCACAAGGACCUUAAGAUCUCAAGACUGAAAACCUAGUUCAGCAAGAUGUUCUCGUUUCCCAAAGCAACUGGGGAUCUUGAAGUCCUCCAGGGCUUCCUUGAAGCCUAUAAGGAACAGGAAAUAACCCCAAGUGAUUUCCACAAAGGACCCUGCAUUAAUUAGCCUGCCAAAGGUCAGAUGUUACAUAGAGAUCUGAUAAUAACUCCUGAGGGAUAUCAGCCUUUUAAUGGGCACCGGGUGACAGACCUGAGAGACCACAUAAACCACUAUGAUCAAAUGACAUUGUUCAGCCAUGGAAGUCAGGAAAAUAUCCUGAGUGGUGAGUACACCCCCGGUGGUGCCAGACAUCAGCCUCCAGAGGCAAACAGUAUCCCUAUAUCCCUAUAUGGAUCCUCAGAUGAAGGGGACAAUUGGUGGCCAGCCUCUAGGUGUCAGAUGCAAAUUCCUGGAGCAUGAGGACAAUAUUCAAUGCCAAAGACAACCUGUCCCAGCAUCAGGAAACAACUGCCAGGGGGUUGAAGUCCCUUCCUGCUUGGGUCAGAUGAAGACCACCUCUGUAGAUGAGAAUGGUGAUGGCUUCUGACUUAGACAAUGUUGAAGGAAGCCACAGUUCUCAGAUGACUUCAUCUGCAAACCAAACCCCAUAUGUGGGCUUCUCCAUGAACCCUCCCAGUUCCUUUGUGAGUCAAAGUCAAGCUCUUGAGAGCUGUUCAGUGGCCACUUCAGUCCAGGUACAGCAUCCUCAAGACAAGUAAGACCUGGAGACCCACAGCCACGUGACCCAGGAGAAGCCUCCCCCCUUUGAAGUUCUUCUUCUUCCCAUGCCAGGUUUGUGACCAAUCUUACAUAAGGUCAUAUCACCUUAAAGACCAUAUCAAGAAACACAGGGGAGAGAAGCCCUUUGUGUGCAAUGAGCCUGGAUGCCAGUGGAGAUUUUUCCAAUCAGAAAAUCUCUG